Molecule: ribosomal RNA, 517 nt
Filed under: uncultured bacterium
Lineage: Bacteria
Description: bacterial SSU rRNA
Rfam family: Bacterial small subunit ribosomal RNA
Source: RNAcentral
GCACCAACGCCGCGUGUGGGAUGACGGCCUUCGGGUUGUAAACCACUUUUCGGGGGGAAGAGGAAGGACGGUACCCCCGGAAUAAGUCUCGGCUAACUACGUGCCAGCAGCCGCGGUAAAACGUAGGAGGCGAACGUUAUCCGGAUUUACUGGGUGUAAAGCGCGUGCAGGCGGUGUCGUAAGUCGUGUGUGAAAGCGCUCAGGCUCAACCGGGCGAGGCCAUGCGAAACUGCGGCACUAGAGACAGGUAGAGGCGUGUGGAAUUCCGGGUGUAGUGGUGAAAUGCGUAAAUAUCCGGAGGAACACCACUGGCGAAGGCGACACGCUGGGCCUGGUCUGACGCUAAGACGCGAAAGCAUGGGGAGCGAACGGGAUUAGAAACCCCGGUAGUCCAUGCCGUAAACGAUGCAUACUAGAUGUUGCGGUGUAAAAACUGCAGUGUCGAAGCUAACGUGAUAAGUAUGCCACCUGGGGACUACGGCCGCAAGGUUAAAACUCAAAGGAAUUGACGGGGGGG